Molecule: ribosomal RNA, 915 nt
Filed under: Triticum aestivum (bread wheat)
Lineage: Eukaryota; Viridiplantae; Streptophyta; Magnoliopsida; Poales; Poaceae
Description: partial small subunit ribosomal RNA
Source: RNAcentral
AUGAAAAAAAUAAUCCAAUCGAAGCCUCAUGCUAGCAGAAGCUAUUUAUUGUAUCUAGUCGCUGUAGAAGCUAGUGUUCUUCUUGCCGUCCUUAUUGGUCUUCAUGCUCCUCUGCCUGCGCCGGUCGGCCUCUUCCACCCGCCGGACGGCGCGCUCCAGCAUGUCCACCCGCUCCGCCAGGGAGCCGAUCAGAGUGCACUGCUGCGCGCUCCGCUCGCACAGUGCCGCCACCAUCUCCAUCAGUUUCUUCGCAUCCAGCCCGUCGGUGGUCACUGUUUUCUUCUCCUCCUGUGCCUGUUCUUGCUGCUGCUGCGCUUUGGGUGGUGUAGGUUCCUUCUCGCCAGUGGAGACGUCGCCGUCUCCCGUCGCCACCAUCUCCCACUCCCCCUCCGCCUCCGAGGCCUUCUCCCCUUCCGCCACCAGUUCGAUCUCGGCCUCGUCGACGACGAGGACGACGGGGCUCGCCACGUCAACCUCCAUUGCCGCCGUGUCAGUUGUCUCGGCAACCAGAGGAUCAGCCGCAGUGUUGUCCUCAACCGGCAGCUCCAACUCCGGUUCCAUCCCAUCCUCCGCUUCUUCCUCUGCAUUAUGAACUUCCGGCGCAUCGGCGGUCACCACCGCGGGCGCGGCCUCGAGAGCGUCAACUGCGUCCUGGAGCGUGAGCACGCGCCUGGUGACCCUCCUGCGGUACUCCCGGGCACCGCGCACGCCGUCGAGACGGAGCAGCAGCCGCAUGAGCUCCUCCCCGAGGCCGAUCCGCGCACGGGCGUCCUCGCGGAGCGCCUCCGCCUCGGCCGCCACCCUCGCGGCCACGGCCUCGGCCUGGCGCUCCACCGCACGCACCUCCCGCACCAUGCGACGAGCGAGCAGCCCGCGCGCCGCCGCCUGCACCCUCGCCGCGGCCUCCUCCGCUGA